This is a non-coding RNA of Oryza sativa Japonica Group (Japanese rice), 1784 nucleotides long. The record is from RefSeq and is a predicted model, not a curated record. Lineage: Eukaryota; Viridiplantae; Streptophyta; Magnoliopsida; Poales; Poaceae.
ACACCUUCCUUUCCAAAAACGAAACUCAGAAAAACAAUAAAGGAAACCGCAUUAGCUAGCAACCUAAUUAAAUUAGAAGCUAACCUAUAGCUUACGACAAACACAGCUGAAUUAAUCAAUUAAUUUGCAGCAUUAUGAUGGGGCAUCCUCUCAUGCACGCGUCGGCCAUCGAUACGAUGAAGGUUUUGAUAUGUUUAUCAUGGCACAUUAACAAAUGAGGACGAGGUAGACGAAAGCUAAAAAAGGGAUUAAUUGAUUGAUCCUGGAAGACCCUGCCUGCAUCGUGCAGCCUCCAAACGCGCCCUGUACUUGUUUAACUAUAUAUUUUUUUUAUUUUAUGUCCUCUCUUGGAAUACUUUCUUAAGGAAGAAGUUGUAGUGCAUCAGGGCUAGCUACCUAGCUAGCUAACCAGCCUUGAUUAGAGAAAUAGAGCUACCUGUAAAGAGCACUCUAAGGAGAUUAGCACAAGAUUAGAGAUAGAUAGAGAGCUUGGCUUGAAAGAUAGCCGAGGUUGUUGCUGCUGCUAAUUGUUAUUUCUGCGUAGAUCUGUAAGAGGGAAAAGGAGGAGGAGAUCGAAGGGGAAGAUGGGGAGAGGGAAGAUAGAGAUAAAGAGGAUCGACAACGCGACGAGCCGACAGGUGACAUUCUCGAAGCGGCGGAGCGGGCUGUUCAAGAAGGCGAGGGAGCUCUCCAUCCUCUGCGAUGCCGAGGUCGGCCUCCUCGUCUUCUCCAGCACCAGCCGUCUCUAUGACUUUGCCAGCUCCAGCAUGAAAUCCAUAAUUGAGAGAUACAAUGAGACGAAAGAAGAUCCCCAUCAAACCAUGAACGCAAGUUCUGAGGCAAAGCUUUGGCAACAGGAGGCAGCAAGCUUGAGGCAGCAACUGCAUAACUUGCAAGAAUAUCAUCGACAGUUGUUGGGACAACAGCUUUCUGGUCUGGAUGUAGAAGACUUGCAAAAUUUGGAAAGUAAGCUGGAGAUGAGCUUAAAAAAUAUCCGUCUGAGGAAGGACAAUGUCAUGAUGGAUCAAAUUCAAGAAUUAAGCAGGAAGGGAAGCCUCAUACAUCAGGAAAACAUGGAACUACACAAGAAAGUCAGCCUUGUCCAUCAAGAAAACAUCAAUUUACAGAAAAAGGUUGAGGCAUGCAGAAACAUUUUGCCAAACAAUGAUGCAGAUUCUACAAGUGAUAUUUUCUCAAUUCACUUUUCUGGUGUAUGCAAAUUACAAAAUGUCAUUUUUUUUAUUUAUUUUAGCAGGUAUAUAAGACAAAGAGUAAUGGGCAUCCAACAGGUUCUACCAUCCAGCACAGCUUUCUGAUUACAGAUAAUGAAAUUGGCCCUAAUCUUGAGCUAAGUCUGCCAGAGAAUGUAGAAAAGGAGUAGUCAGGAACACCAAAUCCAGGCAGACUUCAGCCCAAGUGAGGAUGGCAAACGCUAAGAUUAAGUGACUAAUGGCAUAUUUUCUUUGGUGUCACUAUAAAACCUCGAAGCUAAACUUCAAAGCAUUACCCAUGCAAUAUUUUCUGCAUGAACAAUUUAUCAGUUUAGUUCAGUUUUUUGUUCAAGUUGCUGGGAACCCAUUCAACCAGAACAGAGUUUAUGUCAUGUAUUCUGCUGUUCUGAAGACUAUGUAGUUCUUGUGGUUCAAAAUAAUGCAGGGCAGAGAGUGCACAGCACUUAUUUGUAUCGCGCCAAACAUAGGCACUUGAUCUUGUAUUGAUUUGAACUUGGUAGAUGCAUGUGGUUACUUUUGAAAUGCAAUGAAGCUGCUUGGAAUAUAAGGAAA